GAUUUCUGGUUUGAAAGACUUAGCCCGCCAUGUUUUCAUGUGUGAGUGCUGAUUGUCAUUCAACCAUCCUUCUAGAUACUACUUUAUCUUACUCUUCAUUGAGUGUAGAUAAUAGAAUCUAGAUCGUUUACUUUGAAAAAAUUAGAGUGUUUCAAGCAGGCUUGUUGCUAUGAAUACAUUAGCAUGGAAUAAUAAUUUAGGACUUCGGUUCUAUUUUGUUGGUGUUCUAGGACUGAAGUAAUGAUUGAUAGGGAUAGUUGGGGGUGCUAGUAUUCAGAGGCCAGAGGUGAAAUUCUUGGAUUCUCUGAAGACUAACUUAUGCGAAAGCAUU
Molecule: ribosomal RNA, 331 nt
Filed under: Sandonidae sp.
Lineage: Eukaryota; Cercozoa; Glissomonadida; Sandonidae
Description: SSU rRNA
Rfam family: Eukaryotic small subunit ribosomal RNA
Source: RNAcentral